Molecule: unclassified non-coding RNA, 380 nt
Filed under: Hevea brasiliensis (rubber tree)
Lineage: Eukaryota; Viridiplantae; Streptophyta; Magnoliopsida; Malpighiales; Euphorbiaceae
Source: RNAcentral
GGUGAAUGACAUACCAAGAUGGUGAUUUUGGUUGUGUUAUAUGUCUACCUUUCGGGAUCAUCCGUUGUCAGGUUUUAACCUUACCAAGAUCGGAUUCUGCCUACAAGUUCAUGUUCUACCAUUUCUACCAUUGUUCUACAUCUACAUCCUAUAACCAUUUAGUCUACCUCAUCUACAAUUCCGCUUGUUCUACAAUUUCAAAGUACCAAAUUCUACAUUCAAGACAUCCACGCAUGCCCGUAUACCGAUGUCAAAUUUGUUAUCAAAGCUUUGGUUUAAGCAAUUCUUCUUGGCACUACAUACUAAAUUCCAAUUUUAAGAUGCCUUUCCAACAUCAUCUUCAAAGAGUGGCGACUGAAUUUAUGUCACGAGAUUCAAAA